Molecule: ribosomal RNA, 484 nt
Filed under: uncultured bacterium
Lineage: Bacteria
Description: partial 16S ribosomal RNA
Rfam family: Bacterial small subunit ribosomal RNA
Source: RNAcentral
AUUGAACGCUGGCGGCAUGCUUUACACAUGCAAGUCGAACGGCAGCGCGGGCUUCGGCCUGGCGGCGAGUGGCGAACGGGUGAGUAAUACAUCGGAACGUGCCCAGGAGUGGGGGAUAGCUCGGCGAAAGCCGGAUUAAUACCGCAUACGACCUGAGGGUGAAAGCGGGGGAUCUUCGGACCUCGCGCUCUUGGCGCGGCCGAUGGCAGAUUAGCUAGUUGGUGGGGUAAAGGCCUACCAAGGCGACGAUCUGUAGCUGGUCUGAGAGGACGACCAGCCACACUGGGACUGAGACACGGCCCAGACUCCUACGGGAGGCAGCAGUGGGGAAUUUUGGACAAUGGGCGAAAGCCUGAUCCAGCAAUGCCGCGUGUGUGAUGAAGGCCUUCGGGUUGUAAAGCACUUUUGGCGGGAACGAAAAGGACUGUGCCAAUACCACGGUUCGAUGACGGUACCCUCAGAAUAAGCACCGGCUAACUACGUG